GAUGAACGCUGGCGGCGUGCCUAAUACAUGCAAGUCGAGCGAACAGAUGAGGAGCUUGCUCCUCUGACGUUAGCGGCGGACGGGUGAGUAACACGUGGAUAACCUACCUAUAAGACUGGGAUAACUUCGGGAAACCGGAGCUAAUACCGGAUAAUAUAUUGAACCGGAUGGUUCAAUAGUGAAAGACGGUUUUGCUGUCACUUAUAGAUGGAUCCGCGCCGCAUUAGCUAGUUUGUAAGGUAACGGCUUACCAAGGCGACGAUGAGUAGCCGACCUGAGAGGGUGAUCGGCCACACUGGAACUGAGACACGGUCCAGACUCCUACGGGAGGCAGCAGUAGGGAAUCUACCGCAAUGGGCGAAAGCCUGACGGAGCAACGCCGCGUGAGUGAUGAAGGUCUGCGGAUCGGAAAACUCUGUUAUUAUUGAAGAACAAAUGUGUAAGUAACUAUGCACGUCUUGACGGUACCUAAUCAGAAAGCCACGGCUAACUACGUG
RNAcentral lists this ribosomal RNA (497 nucleotides) under uncultured bacterium. RNAcentral's name for it is "partial 16S ribosomal RNA". It matches the Rfam family "Bacterial small subunit ribosomal RNA", at positions 28 to 507 of the family's 1533-position model. The record is from RNAcentral.